This 442-nucleotide RNase P RNA is filed under the name Treponema sp. Its description in RNAcentral is "RNase P RNA component class A". It matches the Rfam family "Bacterial RNase P class A". From Rfam's summary of the family: Ribonuclease P (RNase P) is a ubiquitous endoribonuclease, found in archaea, bacteria and eukarya as well as chloroplasts and mitochondria. Its best characterised activity is the generation of mature 5'-ends of tRNAs by cleaving the 5'-leader elements of precursor-tRNAs. Lineage: Bacteria; Pseudomonadati; Spirochaetota; Spirochaetia; Treponematales; Treponemataceae. The record is from RNAcentral.
GCGAUGAACCAGACUGCCGCGGAGGGCGGGGGAAUUACCCUUGUCCCUUUGAGGAAAGUCCGGGCUCCGCAGGGCAUGAUGCCGGGUAACUCCCGGGCGGAAAGGGCGAAAAUCCUUUCCGACAGAAAGCGCAGCAGAAAGCAAACCGCCUAAGAUAAAACGCGGAAGCGUUUUUAUCCGGCAAGGGUGAAACGGCGGGGUAAGAGCCCGCCUCGGCGGCGGCAACGCUGCCGGAAAGAUUCCGGUACGCCUAACGCGGGCCGGAAAACGGCAAGCCUCAUCAGGAGCAAAGUCAAGCAGCGGCGGAACGGCCCGUUCUAUGCCGCGGGUAGACUGCGCGGACGGUGUCCGUAAGGACCGCGCAAGAUAGAUGGCAGUUGGCGCUGAAACGCCGCAGGGUGUUUCGGCGCUACAGAACCCGGCUUACCGGUUCAUCGCUUUU